RNAcentral lists this ribosomal RNA (717 nucleotides) under uncultured Staphylococcus sp. Its description in RNAcentral is "bacterial SSU rRNA". It matches the Rfam family "Bacterial small subunit ribosomal RNA", at positions 209 to 917 of the family's 1533-position model. The record is from RNAcentral. Lineage: Bacteria; Bacillati; Bacillota; Bacilli; Caryophanales; Staphylococcaceae.
UUGCUGUCACUUAUAGAUGGAUCCCCGCCGCAUUAGCUAGUUGGUAAGGUAACGGCUUACCAAGGCAACGAUGCGUAGCCGACCUGAGAGGGUGAUCGGCCACACUGGAACUGAGACACGGUCCAGACUCCUACGGGAGGCAGCAGUAGGGAAUCUUCCGCAGUGGGCGAAAGCCUGACGGAGCAACCCCGCGUGAGUGAAAAAGGUCUUCAGAUCGUAAAACUCUGUUAUUAGGGAAGAACAAAUGUGUAAGUAACUAUGCACGUCUUGACGGUACCUAAUCAAAAAGCCACGGCUAACUACGUGCCAGCAGCCGCGGUAAUACGUAGGUGGCAAGCGUUAUCCGGAAUUAUUGGGCGUAAAGCGCGCGUAGGCGGUUUUUUAAGUCUGAUGUGAAAGCCCACGGCUCAACCGUGGAGGGUCAUUGGAAACUGGAAAACUUGAGUGCAGAAGAGGAAAGUGGAAUUCCGUGUGUAGCGGUGAAAUGCGCAGAGAUAUGGAGGAACACCAGUGGCGAAGGCGACUUUCUGGUCUGUAACUGACGCUGAUGUGCGAAAGCGUGGGGAUCAAACAGGAUUAGAUACCCUGGUAGUCCACGCCGUAAACGAUGAGUGCUAAGUGUUAGGGGGUUUCCGCCCCUUAGUGCUGCAGCUAACGCAUUAAGCACUCCCCCUGGGGAGUACGACCGCAGGGUUGAAACUCAAAUGAAUUGACGGA